CGCCGAGUGCGCACACGCGCACGUCGCGGGCGGCGGCAGGCGGCGGCAAUGUAACUUAACGCCCCGAACUCCGCCGCCUGCUUGUUGGGGUCCUCCCACAUUCCCGCAGAUCCCCGUGCCGCCGAGGCGCAGCAGGGGAGGGCAGGGCGCGGCGGAGUAGCUGUGCUCGCCAGUGUGGAGAAGCCGAGAAGGUGGACGAGGCCUCGCAGCACGAGGAGAGCCAGUCGCUGCUCGAUGGCGUCAAGGAGGUCGGGCGCUGCGUGGAGCGCACCCGCCGACAUCGAGGGCCAGUCGCUGCCUCGAGGAGCGGGGCGACGAGGUAUGUGCGGUAUGCCGGUAUCCAACGCGACGCGCUCGCUGGCUGCCUCCAGCCUGUUCGACGUUUUGCCUGCUCAGCGAGCGAUGCCCAUGCCGUGAUGCCCAGAACGGCUGGGUCGGUCACUGUAGAGCAACCUGGCCUGGCCUGCAUGUACCUGUACCCCAACGUCCAGCCUCCUGCACUGCACAGACCCCACGGCGAAGACGUAGCAUGAAUGGGCACCAUGAUUUUUUCUGGUGCGAUGCGAUGUUACUAUAGUGUGGCCCCUUGCACGUUUGGUGGAUGCCCGCUGUUGCGUUUGAGCUAAUGUGGUACCAAUGUCUUGGAUGAAGUUUAAUUUAAAUAGCCAGACAAUAGGUUCAUGCUCGGGUCAGGUGUAUCUAUGCAUGUGAUUAGUUAGGUUAUGAAUCCGAGCUAAGGCUAUCUGCACUCGUGGACCUCUAUUCCUAUCUCUUAAAAGGAAUAUUCUAUUCUAGUCAUCGAGAUUCUCUACUCAAUAACCAUUUUUCCCGCACUCGUGUUAUCUCUAUCCCAUACUCUAUACCCACUAUUCCAUAUUUUAUUCCCCUUCCUCCCCCUUUCUCUCUCUCCCCAACUCUCUCUCUCUUUUCGCUACGGUUUUUACCAUUCGCCUAUUGCUCCGCUACAAGUAGCGGUCUACCGGCCGCAUGGUAGCGUACCGCGCGCGUUGCAGGCGCGCGGUGCACGGCUUCCAGGCGCGCAACGUGUUUACAGGCCGGCUUCCAGGCGCGCGGUGCGGUUAGUCUAAUGCAUGUAGCUCUGGCGGUGCAUACACUACCAAAGGAAUGGUAUUAAAGAAAUAAAAAAAAUCCACUGAAUAGCACUUGUAUGAAUAGCACUUGUAUUCAUAGCAGAAAAUCUGAGCAUAGAAAUCAUCAACUGUACCAUCACCCUGUCGAACAAGCUGAUCCUGAUAGAUGGCUGCAAGAAAGGUAGACUGAUCAGUGGGCUCAUAAUGCUUACGAAGAAAAGCCCACAUCUGAUGUGCAAAAUCAAGUUCAACAAUAUCAGCUGAAACCCCGCCCUCCGUGGUAGCAACAAGAAUAGAAGCAGCUCGAGCAUCCUCAUCAACCCAUGUCCUGUAUGCAGUAAACUGAGAAUCAUACGAUGCAAGAUCAUCAUAAUCAGCAAGCAGCUUUGCCAUAUCCGCAUCAUAAGCAGCAAGCAACCGAUCCAUCUCCUCAGCCGUAGUCUUCUCUGGAAUCCACAGGCUUCUCAGGAAUCGCCGGGUAUAUAGGAGUAGUAGGACGAGGUGGGCAAGGCAACUCGCCAAUCAGAAACUCCCAAAGACGAAGACCACGCAUAUGAAUCUGUAGAUGAGUAACCCAAUCUCGAUAGUUGGUGCCAUUGAACAGCACUGGACAACGGACACCACCGGAGGAAGGAACUGAAGGAGCCAUGGCGAUGAUGAGAGUGCACAGAGAAAUAGCGGCGCAAGCGUUUUUUAGCCAAACCGUGCACCGCAGAAACAAAGCAGCGCAGCAAAAGAGUACGCAGAGCAGCAGUUUUUUUUUAACAGAUGGCUUAUCCCUUCACGGGAGGACAGGCAACGAAGGCAACAGAUGAGCCUUCCAUGGGCCGCACAGCACGCCCGGGCGAGCGGACGACGAGAAGAUAGGCGAAUCCGGCGGGGCCAAGGGCGGCGCGGGGCGAAUCCGGCGGGGCCGAAGAUGAAUCCGGCGGCGCGGAUGAGCGGACGAAGCCGGCGCGACGAAUCCGGCGGGGCCGGGGACGGCGCAAGCGGCAAAUCCGGCGGCGCGGACGAGCGGAAGACGGCGCGGCGGGAACGGUGACGAGUCGCGGGCGGGCGGCGGCGACGAACCACGGGCAAGCGGACGUCAACGAGUUGCGGGCGGGCGGACGGCGACGAGCCGCAGAUGGGUGGCCAGACGAGCGGGGCGACGGAAGGAAUCGACGGUGCUCUCAAAACGAAGAGCUUGGGAAAUCGAUCCAAUGGAGGCACACAAGUGCAACGUGCGUGGAAAAAAAUCACAUGAGAAGAAAUCUAAACCCUUUGGCUCCUACCAUAUUAGGAAUAGCACUUGUAUUCAUUGGAAUAGCACUUGUAUUCAUAACAGGGACGUUAAGCUCAUAUAUAUACAAGUAUAGGAAGGGGAAAAUAUACAUAAAAAUCCCUUAGAAAAGGUAAAAUACCAACAGUACAUAUACAUCUAACAAAGAUGAUGUUCCAUUGCUUUCGAUCAAACUGUCCUCGUGGGUCCAAGUGUUCCACAUAUCCUUCUGACAUUUUUUUAACGUCUAUUAACUUGGAAUGUGCAUCUUGUCUGCUUGCUUCAUCAUAUGUUGUGCAUAUCUAGUUUAAGACCCAUUCUUCUUUUUUUUAAAAAAAACUCAUUGCAAUCAUGUCAUACGCUCUGGUAAAUUGAUUUUAAAAUGACGCUUACCUUAUCUUCUGAGUAAACAUACAGUACCAGUAGCAUUUGGCAUGUGGCCCCAUGAUAUUGAAGGAAGAAUGAUUAUUGGUUCUGACGUCAACUCUAUAUGAUAAUAAAGUUUUGCAUCAUCAAAAUAUCUUCUUGACAUGCUGGGAAAUACAUGAAUUAUUUGUCGCUCGAUGCUUCUUAGGGUCUCUUUAUUUUUGUGGUUGCAAUGCUGCAUCACUAACAAAAAUGAGAUUAUAUUGCAGAGUCCCAGCAGGAAUUGGUACAAGCAAGAGAAAGGAUUGAUGAAACUUUGCGUUCCUUGUCAUCUAGUCUUGAAGAAAGAAGCCUUGGAGAAUGGAGAUGUGUCAAGUAGUGUAUUCAGAAUGAGAAACUAGAAACCAUAAAAGCCGAAGCAGUUUCCUGUAUAGUUUGCUGAUUACUUCUCUAUCAACCAUUGGUUUCACGUUUGCUGUGAAGAAAAUAGUUCCUGAACUGUGGUGUAAUCUGAUACAGUAUUAUUCUGGUCUUUCAUAAAUUGCCAAGCCGGAUGGAUCUGGGUGACAGCAUUGCAUAGCAAACAUGGGUCCUCAGAAUGGUUGCUACUGUAGUCAGAAGGAUGCAGAACAGAUAUUUUCACUAUUAUGAGCCUUGGCGACAUACACCUAGGGUUCUUAUUCUUCAUC
This 3407-nucleotide long non-coding RNA is filed under the name Setaria italica (foxtail millet). RNAcentral's name for it is "long non-coding RNA (SITA_LNC001500)". The record is from RNAcentral. Lineage: Eukaryota; Viridiplantae; Streptophyta; Magnoliopsida; Poales; Poaceae.